UUCUUCAUAGGAUAAGAAUAAUCCGUAAUAUUUAGGAUAUUAAGAUAUAAUUUAUUUAUUGACAGAA
RNAcentral lists this transfer RNA (67 nucleotides) under Polycarpa mytiligera. RNAcentral describes it as "transfer RNA-Leu(CUN)". The record is from RNAcentral. Lineage: Eukaryota; Metazoa; Chordata; Ascidiacea; Stolidobranchia; Styelidae.